GAAGCACCAUAGAACGUGAAAACACCAAAAUGAAUGUAAAAGCAUUGCAACAGCAACAACGGGAGAUGCAAAACACGAGAUCAUUGGUCUACCUCCAAUGCAGUCACUCCUUUUGUGGCUUUCUUACUCAAGUAAACCAUAUAAGAUCCAUAAUACAGUGAAAAUAUAGCAUCUACCCAUUUUAUGGUAUCCAUUACAGAAGCACAAUUAUUGAAGGAGAGUUGAAUGUAUUCAUGGUCUUGGAACAUACAUCUUUGGAACCCCAUACACUAAACUACAAAUGGCUACAAAAGAAAACAAAUGGAGAAAUGCUCGAGCGGGCUAUAUGUACAGGUACCUUGUCUGUAGAUAGCUACAGUCAGACACGAGGUAUACAUAUGGGAUGAUGUGUUAUGAUUCUUCAACCCUGUAGUCAUUUUUAAGAUGAGAAAAAUGCAACCAAAGAUGUAAGAGGUGUCUAAAUAAAUUACAAAUCCAUGCAGCAGACUUAUUCCCAUUUAAAUGUCUGAAAGAAAGGUCAAAAUUGAAAUUGAUAGGUUUUAAUGCCAAGAACAGAAGAUACUCAGUGUGUACAUGA
Molecule: long non-coding RNA, 577 nt
Organism: Magnolia sinica
Lineage: Eukaryota; Viridiplantae; Streptophyta; Magnoliopsida; Magnoliales; Magnoliaceae
Exons: 2
Source: RefSeq, a predicted model, not a curated record